RNAcentral lists this ribosomal RNA (495 nucleotides) under uncultured bacterium. Its description in RNAcentral is "partial 16S ribosomal RNA". It matches the Rfam family "Bacterial small subunit ribosomal RNA", at positions 28 to 507 of the family's 1533-position model. The record is from RNAcentral.
GACGAACGCUGGCGGCGUGCCUAAUACAUGCAAGUAGAACGCUGAAGGAGGAGCUUGCUUCUCUGGAUGAGUUGCGAACGGGUGAGUAACGCGUGGGUAACCUGCCUGGUAGCGGGGGAUAACUAUUGGAAACGAUAGCUAAUACCGCAUAAGAGUAGAUGUCGCAUGACAUUUGCUUAAAAGGUGCAAUUGCAUCACUACCAGAUGGACCUGCGUUGUAUUAGCUAGUUGGUGAGGUAACGGCUCACCAAGGCAACGAUACAUAGCCGACCUGAGAGGGUGAUCGGCCACACUGGGACUGAGACACGGCCCAGACUCCUACGGGAGGCAGCAGUAGGGAAUCUUCGGCAAUGGACGGAAGUCUGACCGAGCAACGCCGCGUGAGUGAAGAAGGUUUUCGGAUCGUAAAGCUCUGUUGUAAGAGAAGAACGAGUGUGAGAGUGGAAAGUUCACACUGUGACGGUAUCUUACCAGAAAGGGACGGCUAACUACGUG